AUGCAGGGCGCCGGCGCCGCCGAGGGGAGGAGCAGGGGCUCGCCGUCGACCAUGGACAAGGCCGACGAGAGCGCCAAGAAGGCGCGGCUGGACCUGCCCGACGCCCACUCCGUGAAGCAAGAGCUCGUCGCGCACGACGCGGCGGCCGGAGCAGGCGCCAUCGUUGCGGUGCCGGAGCACAGCCCCAGGGCGGAGCUCGCCGUGAAGAUCGACAUGUGCGUGCUCCACUGCCCGCUCUGCGCCCUCCCCUUCAAGCCCCCCGUCUUCCAGUGCAAGGGCGGGCACCUGGCCUGCGGCGGGUGCGCGGCCCAGCAGCCCUCCGGCCAGUGCGGGGCGUGCGCGGACGGCUGCGGCUUCUUCGACCCCUGCCCGGCGCUGGACGCCGUCGUGUCCUCCACCCGGGUCGAGUGCCCCAACGCCGGCUGCCAGAGGUACGUCACCUACCACGAGGCCGACGAGCACCGGGGCGCGUGCGCGCACGCGCCCUGCCGCUGCACGGAGCACGGCUGCGCCUUCGUCGGCGCGGCGCCGGACCUCGCCGGCCACCUCAGCGCCGCCCACUCCGUGCCGGUGCGCGCCAUCCGCUACGGCAAGGUGAGCCGGCUCCAGGUCCCCGUGUCCACGCCGCGGCAGCUGCUCGUCGGCGACGACGACGGCCGCGUGUUCGUGCUCACCGUGGGCGCGCUCGGCGCCGCGGCGACCGCCGUGUCCGUGGUUUGCGCCAGGGGGAGCGCGGCCACGAGGCCGCGGUUCACGUGCAAGAUGUGGGUCAAUCUGACCACGUCCGCGGCCGCGAACGGCGGCAAGGCGGACACCGUGCUGGUGGAGAUGCAGAUGAGGAGCAGCACCUCGCCCGGCGCCAUGGUCGCCGCCGGCGAGCCGACGUUCCUCGCGGUGCCGCCGGCGUACCUGGUCCCGGGAGCGGACGGGGGCGACGGGGCGGCGGGCAUGGAGGUGCCGCUCAGCGUCCGCAUCGACAAGAUCGCGCCUUGGUCCGACUGA
RNAcentral lists this ribosomal RNA (1002 nucleotides) under Triticum aestivum (bread wheat). Its description in RNAcentral is "partial small subunit ribosomal RNA". Lineage: Eukaryota; Viridiplantae; Streptophyta; Magnoliopsida; Poales; Poaceae. The record is from RNAcentral.